CAGGUCCGCGUGUAACGACAGCAUUCGAAUCAUUGGUCGCAAACGUGGUGGCGGCGGAAGUGGCGCGGGUUGGGACAAGCAGCCGCAGCAGCUUCAGGGAUACACCCCGGAUUGCCUAGCGAGUGUUGCCAUGGGAUAGAGCAGCAGCAGCAGUAGCAAUAGCAGCAGCACAAGUGGCAGUAGCGUAGCAUCAGUAGUAGCAGCAGUAGCAACAGCAAGGGGUUGCAGGGACGUUACUGGGUUGCAGGCCGGCUGCUAGUAUCGCUAUCACUACCUAGCACCCACCCAUCCACACGUCAUUGGGAUGUCACCAGCAGAGAGGGGAACGUACGGCAAACCCGCCGUUCCUGUCUGCCUCUGCCCGUCAGCUGCCUUAAAUCCAAGUUUCCACCCCUUAUGUCCGUACACGUACACACACAUACAUACGUACACAUAUACACACACACAAGGACGUGUUUUUUUCCACCGCCUCUCCUGACCGGGGUGCCACCAAAGACCGUCUUAACUUCUUCCUCUUCCGCCCCCAAACGGCGCCCAAGGGAGGAGCACCACCAACAUCUCCAAAACCGCCCCAAGCGGGAGCCCCGUCCCAAAGCUACCCCACAUACCGGGAGCCCCACAUGCUGCGCCUCCACCGCCUCCGCCUCGUCUCCACCCACAUCAUCACCGCCGUCUCCGUCCCCGUGGAAAUCUGCUUUCACUCCCCCCCCUGAUCCCGCACCAGCCCAUAAUGCUUGAACAGCAGCCCCAUCCACGUCCCUGACCCCUCCAUUGACUCCGCCGCUGCCGCCAGGGAUACCGCCG
RNAcentral lists this long non-coding RNA (804 nucleotides) under Volvox carteri. RNAcentral's name for it is "long non-coding RNA (VCAR_LNC003142)". The record is from RNAcentral. Lineage: Eukaryota; Viridiplantae; Chlorophyta; Chlorophyceae; Chlamydomonadales; Volvocaceae.